AUUAACAUUAUUUAAUCACACACAUAUAUCGACACAGUUUUCGGGGUGUCUGGGAGUGCUUCAGGUACUGUUCAGAUCGAGAACUGGGAUAUAUGGAGGCCUAAC
Molecule: small RNA, 105 nt
Filed under: Lacimicrobium alkaliphilum
Lineage: Bacteria; Pseudomonadati; Pseudomonadota; Gammaproteobacteria; Alteromonadales; Alteromonadaceae
Description: t44 RNA
Rfam family: t44 RNA
About the family: This family consists of a number of bacterial RNA genes of between 135 and 170 bases in length. The t44 gene is found between the map and rpsB genes in all species in the full alignment apart from Shigella flexneri. The function of this RNA is unknown.
Source: Rfam by way of RNAcentral